This 219-nucleotide ribosomal RNA is filed under the name uncultured bacterium. RNAcentral describes it as "partial 16S ribosomal RNA". It matches the Rfam family "Bacterial small subunit ribosomal RNA", at positions 122 to 334 of the family's 1533-position model. The record is from RNAcentral.
UAACCUACCCAUCAGAGGGGGAUAACACUUGGAAACAGGUGCUAAUACCGCAUAACAGUUUAUGCCGCAUGGCAUAAGAGUGAAAGGCGCUUUCGGGUGUCGCUGAUGGAUGGACCCGCGGUGCAUUAGCUAGUUGGUGAGGUAACGGCUCACCAAGGCCACGAUGCAUAGCCGACCUGAGAGGGCGAUCGGCCACACUGGGACUGAGACACGGCCCAG